Molecule: ribosomal RNA, 321 nt
Filed under: uncultured bacterium
Lineage: Bacteria
Description: bacterial SSU rRNA
Rfam family: Bacterial small subunit ribosomal RNA
Source: RNAcentral
CGGGGACUCGCAAGAACCUCGCGUUUUUCGGAGCGGCCGAUAUCGGAUUAGCUAGUAGGUGAGGUAAAGGCUCACCUAGGCGACGAUCCGUAGCUGGUCUGAGAGGACGACCAGCCACACUGGAACUGAGACACGGUCCAGACUCCUACGGGAGGCAGCAGUGGGAAUUUUGGACAAUUGGGCGCAAGCCUGAUCCAGCCAUGCCGCGUGAGUGAAGAAGGCCUUCGGGUUGUAAAGCUCUUUCAGCCGGAAAGAAAACGCACGGGUUAAUAACCUGUGUGGAUGACGGUACCGGAAGAAGAAGCACCGGCUAACUACGUG